AAGCGGAGGAGCAUGUGGUUUAAUUCGAUGAUACGCGAGGAACCUUACCUGGGCUCGAACGUAAGAUGACUGUAGGUGAAAGCUUACAUCUCUUCGGAGCAUUUUACGAGGUGCUGCAUGGUUGUCGUCAGCUCGUGCCGUGAGGUGUCGGGUUAAGUCCCAUAACGAGCGCAACCCCUACCUUAGUUGCCAUCAGGUAAUGCUGGGGACUCUAAAGGAACUGCCUACGCAAGUAGUGAGGAAGGCGGGGAUGACGUCAAAUCAGCACGGCCCUUACGUCCAGGGCUACACACGUGCUACAAUGGCCGAUACAGAGGGCAGCUACCUGGUGACAGGAUGCAAAUCUCCAAAGUCGGUCUCAGUUCGGAUCGGAGUCUGCAACCCGACUCCGUGAAGUUGGAUUCGCUAGUAAUCGUGGAUCAGCAUGCCACGGUGAAUACGUUCCCGGGCCUU
This 453-nucleotide ribosomal RNA is filed under the name uncultured Sphingobacteriales bacterium. RNAcentral describes it as "bacterial SSU rRNA". It matches the Rfam family "Bacterial small subunit ribosomal RNA", at positions 927 to 1382 of the family's 1533-position model. Lineage: Bacteria; Pseudomonadati; Bacteroidota; Sphingobacteriia; Sphingobacteriales. The record is from RNAcentral.